UUUAAGUGCACUUAAGGAUUUCAACGUUUUAUCAUCCGUCUUAUUUAAAAUUUUUUAAUUAGUAUUUUUAUUUUUAUUAGAUGAUAAAACAUAAAUAAUACUUUAUGCGUGAUUUAUUUUUUAAAAAUUAUAAAUUUUUCAAAUAAGGUGAAGAUACAUAAAGUCGCAACUGCAGUUAAG
RNAcentral lists this microRNA precursor (180 nucleotides) under Oryza punctata. Its description in RNAcentral is "MIR812 microRNA precursor family". It matches the Rfam family "MIR812 microRNA precursor family". Lineage: Eukaryota; Viridiplantae; Streptophyta; Magnoliopsida; Poales; Poaceae. The record is from Rfam by way of RNAcentral.